AAAGCGGGAGUAGUGCUUCGGUCUUAUUUCGGCUGUGCGCUCAGGCUGCACGCCGAUAACCUCUCACACCUGUGCACCUUUUCGGUUGCGGUUUCGGCCGCUUCCGCUUUUACAUGCAACCACGAAAAGUCUAGAAUGUGACGAGAACUAUAAAGUAACAACUUUCAACAACGGAUCUCUUGGCUCUCGCAUCGAUGAAGAACGCAGCGAAAUGCGAUAAGUAAUGUGAAUUGCAGAAUUCAGUGAAUCAUCGAAUCUUUGAACGCACCUUGCGCUCCUUGGUAUUCCAUGGAGCAUGCCUGUUUGAGUGUCACGUAAACCCUCACCCCUGCGAUGUAACAGUCGCCUGCGGUGGACUUGGACCGUGCCGGUAAUCGGCUCGUCUUGAAAUGCAUUAGCUGGCGCUUUUAGAGUGCUGGGCGAACGGUGUGAUAAUUAUCUGCGCCGACUGCCCUGGGCCUCUUCAGCGGCGCUGCUUACAGCCGUCCCUUGCGGACAACUAUUUUAAAGCUUUGGCCUCAAAUCAGGUAGGACUACCCGCUGAACUUAAGCAUAUCAAUAAGCGGAGGAA
RNAcentral lists this ribosomal RNA (571 nucleotides) under Auricularia sp. shen nong A8. RNAcentral's name for it is "eukaryotic LSU rRNA". The stretch from base 160 to 313 matches the Rfam family "5.8S ribosomal RNA". The record is from RNAcentral. Lineage: Eukaryota; Fungi; Basidiomycota; Agaricomycetes; Auriculariales; Auriculariaceae.